Molecule: ribosomal RNA, 613 nt
Filed under: uncultured bacterium
Lineage: Bacteria
Description: bacterial SSU rRNA
Rfam family: Bacterial small subunit ribosomal RNA
Source: RNAcentral
GGCCUGCGUCCGAUUAGGUAAUUGGUGGGGUAAAGGCCUACCAAGCCUGCGAUCGGUAGCUGGUCUGAGAGGACGACCAGCCACGCUGGGACUGAGACACGGCCCAGACUCCUACGGGAGGCAGCAGUGGGGAAUAUUGGACAAUGGGCGAAAGCCUGAUCCAGCAAUGCCGCGUGGGUGAAGAAGGUCUUCGGAUCGUAAAGCCCUUUCGACGGGGACGAUGAUGACGGUACCCGUAGAAGAAGCCCCGGCUAACUUCGUGCCAGCAGCCGCGGUAAUACGAAGGGGGCUAGCGUUGCUCGKGAAUUACUGGGCGUAAAGGGCGCGUAGGCGGCGGCCCAAGUCAGGCGUGAAAUUCCUGGGCUCAACCUGGGGACUGCGCUUGAUACUGGGUUGCUUGAGGAUGGAAGAGGCUCGUGGAAUUCCCAGUGUAGAGGUGAAAUUCGUAGAUAUUGGGAAGAACACCGGUGGCGAAGGCGGCGAGCUGGUCCAUUACUGACGCUGAGGCGCGACAGCGUGGGGAGCAAMCAGGAUUAGAUACCCUGGUAGUCCACSGCCGUAAACCGAUGUGCGCUGGAUGUUGGGGCCCAUAGGGUCUCAGUGUCGUAGCCAA